GCCACUGAAAUUAGAGAAUUACAGGCAGAUGCAGAUUAACUACGUUAAUCUAAUUGAGUGAGGCAGUGAGCUAAUGGAUCAAGGCUAGUUUGCAAAUUACAAUACCGACAUCAAGUUCACAUUCUUGAGCAGAAACAACAAAAUAGUCAGGCAAUUAAGGAUUGCGUAUGGAGAAUUAUCAUUUUCUAGCAGACUUAGUACCUAGCUAAGAUAUGAAAGGAGAUCUAGUAACCUGAUCAAUAGCGGAAGGGUUCUUGCCAU
RNAcentral lists this unclassified non-coding RNA (261 nucleotides) under Hevea brasiliensis (rubber tree). Lineage: Eukaryota; Viridiplantae; Streptophyta; Magnoliopsida; Malpighiales; Euphorbiaceae. The record is from RNAcentral.